RNAcentral lists this ribosomal RNA (440 nucleotides) under uncultured bacterium. Its description in RNAcentral is "partial 16S ribosomal RNA". It matches the Rfam family "Bacterial small subunit ribosomal RNA", at positions 338 to 795 of the family's 1533-position model. The record is from RNAcentral.
CCUACGGGAGGCAGCAGUAGGGAAUUUUGCGCAAUGGGCGAAAGCCUGACGCAGCAACGCCGCGUGAUCGAGACGCCCUUCGGGGUGUAAAGAUCUGUCAGUGGGGACGCAACUUGACGGUACCCACAGAGGAAGCACCUGCUAACCCCGUACCAGAGGCCGCGGUACUACGGGGGGUGCACGCGUUGUCCGGAAUCAUUGGGCGUAAGGAGUUCGUAGGCGGCACGUAAAGGAGGGUGUUAAAGGCAGAGGCUCAAGUUCUGUACGGCAAUGGAUACUGGCGAGCUAGAAUGCGGUAGAGGUAAAGGGAAUUCCUGGUGUAGCGGUGAAAUGCUUAGAUAUCAGGAGGAACAUCGGUGGCGUAAGCGCUUUACUGGGCCGUAAUUGACGCUGAGGAACGAAAGCCAGGGUAGCAAAUGGGAUUAGAUACCCCAGUAGUC